RNAcentral lists this ribosomal RNA (516 nucleotides) under Priestia flexa. Its description in RNAcentral is "Bacillus flexus partial 23S ribosomal RNA". It matches the Rfam family "Bacterial large subunit ribosomal RNA", at positions 2411 to 2925 of the family's 2925-position model. The record is from RNAcentral. Lineage: Bacteria; Bacillati; Bacillota; Bacilli; Caryophanales; Bacillaceae.
CUUAGUGAUCCGGUGGUUCCGCAUGGAAGGGCCAUCGCUCAACGGAUAAAAGCUACCCCGGGGAUAACAGGCUUAUCUCCCCCAAGAGUCCACAUCGACGGGGAGGUUUGGCACCUCGAUGUCGGCUCAUCGCAUCCUGGGGCUGUAGUCGGUCCCAAGGGUUGGGCUGUUCGCCCAUUAAAGCGGUACGCGAGCUGGGUUCAGAACGUCGUGAGACAGUUCGGUCCCUAUCCGUCGUGGGCGUAGGAAAUUUGAGAGGAGCUGUCCUUAGUACGAGAGGACCGGGAUGGACACACCGCUGGUGUACCAGUUGUCUUGCCAAAGGCAUCGCUGGGUAGCUAUGUGUGGACGGGAUAAGUGCUGAAAGCAUCUAAGCAUGAAGCCCCCCUCAAGAUGAGAUUUCCCAUAGCGCAAGCUAGUAAGAUCCCUGAAAGAUGAUCAGGUUGAUAGGUCAGAGGUGGAAGCACGGCGACGUGUGUAGCUGACUGAUACUAAUCGAUCGAGGACUUAACCAAA